GACGAACGCUGGCGGCGUGCUUAACACAUGCAAGUCGAACGGUGAAGCGCUUGCCUUUUUGGUGGGUGUGGAUGAGUGGCGAACGGGUGAGUAACACGUGAGUAACCUGCCCUCUUCUUCUGGAUAACCUCAUGAAAGUGGGGCUAAUACGGGGUAUUCCGGGUCUGUCGCAUGGCGGGUUUGGGAAAGAUUGCGCCUUUGGGUGUUUUCGGUGGGGGAUGGGCUCGCGGCCUAUCAGCUUGUUGGUGGGGUGAUGGCCUACCAAGGCGGUGACGGGUAGCCGGCCUGAGAGGGUGGACGGCCACACUGGGACUGAGACACGGCCCAGACUCCUGCGGGAGGCAGCAGUGGGGAAUAUUGCACAGUGGGCGCAAGCCUGAUGCAGCGACGCCGAGUGAGGGAUGGAGGCCUUCGGGUUGUGAACCUCUUUCGCCAGUGAAGCAGGCCUGCUCCUGUGUGGGUGGGUUGACGGUAGCUGGAUAAGAAGCGCCGGCUAACUACGUG
RNAcentral lists this ribosomal RNA (504 nucleotides) under uncultured bacterium. RNAcentral describes it as "partial 16S ribosomal RNA". It matches the Rfam family "Bacterial small subunit ribosomal RNA", at positions 28 to 507 of the family's 1533-position model. The record is from RNAcentral.